RNAcentral lists this ribosomal RNA (549 nucleotides) under Meyerozyma guilliermondii. Its description in RNAcentral is "eukaryotic LSU rRNA". It matches the Rfam family "Eukaryotic large subunit ribosomal RNA", at positions 72 to 636 of the family's 3401-position model. The record is from RNAcentral. Lineage: Eukaryota; Fungi; Ascomycota; Pichiomycetes; Serinales; Debaryomycetaceae.
GGAUUGCCUUAGUAGCGGCGAGUGAAGCGGCAAAAGCUCAAAUUUGAAAUCUGGCGCCUUCGGUGUCCGAGUUGUAAUUUGAAGAUUGUAACCUUGGAGUUGGCUCUUGUCUAUGUUUCUUGGAACAGGACGUCACAGAGGGUGAGAAUCCCGUGCGAUGAGAUGCCCAAUUCUAUGUAAGGUGCUUUCGAAGAGUCGAGUUGUUUGGGAAUGCAGCUCUAAGUGGGUGGUAAAUUCCAUCUAAAGCUAAAUAUUGGCGAGAGACCGAUAGCGAACAAGUACAGUGAUGGAAAGAUGAAAAGAACUUUGAAAAGAGAGUGAAAAAGUACGUGAAAUUGUUGAAAGGGAAGGGUUUGAGAUUCAGACUCGAUAUUUUGUGAGCCUUGCCUUCGUGGCGGGGUGACCCGCAGCUUAUCGGGCCAGCAUCGGUUUGGGCGGUAGGAUAAUGGCGUAGGAAUGUGACUUUACUUCGGUGAAGUGUUAUAGCCUGCGUUGAUGCUGCCUGCCUAGACCGAGGACUGCGAUUUUAUCAAGGAUGCUGGCAUAAUG